GAUUAACGCUGGCGGCGUGCAUAACACAUGCAAGUCGAACGAUGAAACUUAGUUGACUUCUUCGGAAAGACACUAAGCGGAUUAGUGGCGAACGGGUGAGUAACGCGUGAGUAACCUGCCUUACACAAGGGGAUAGCCCUUGGAAACGAAGAAUAAUACCCUAUAAAACCAUAAAAGCACAUGCUAGAAUGGUCAAAGUGAUAGCGGUGUAAGAUGGACUUGCGUCUGAUUAGCUAGUUGGUGAGAUAAAAGCUCACUAAGGCAACGAGCAGUAGCCGGAUUGAGAGAGUGUACAGCCACAUUGAGACUGAGACACGGCCCAGACGCCUACGGGAGGCAGCAGUGGGGAAUUAUGCACAAUGGGGGAAACCCUGAUGCAGCGAGGCCGCGUGAUUGAGAAGGCCUUCGGGUUGUAAAAAUCUUUUGUAUAGGAAGAAAAUGACAGUACUAUACGAAUAAGGUCCGGCUAAUUACGUG
This 477-nucleotide ribosomal RNA is filed under the name uncultured bacterium. RNAcentral describes it as "partial 16S ribosomal RNA". It matches the Rfam family "Bacterial small subunit ribosomal RNA", at positions 28 to 507 of the family's 1533-position model. The record is from RNAcentral.